This is a long non-coding RNA of Oreochromis aureus, 413 nucleotides long. NCBI's taxonomy places the organism in Eukaryota, Metazoa, Chordata, Actinopteri, Cichliformes, Cichlidae. The record is from Ensembl.
GGAAAGUCAUGGACUUGUUCCCACCUCAGAGCCCUUGGAGUUAAUGUGCAAUGCUGAGUCAGUCUGGGACAGUGACAUGUCUACUAUCUUGCUGCUGCUACAUCUGAUACCACCAUCUGCACAAGGGCAAAAGAGACUAGGAAAGAUGUCUGCAUCUCAAGCUGUCGAUAACCUCAUCAAAUUCCCAAAGGCUGGAACCAGUGUACAGCAGCAUCUAGACAACAUCACCCGAAGCAGUCAGCCCUACCUUCUUGCUCAGGGAUCCACAAGAAGCAGCAUUCACACCUUGUGAUUGACAAGCAUGCACUUCCAUAUAAAGCGACAGGUUCAGUAGGAGCCCUUGAUGAACUCUUUAGGGCCCAUUAUGUCUUUGGUACAUCAUACAGUUCAUCCCAGACCAACUUUUUCACUUU